UUGGAGGGCAAGUCUGGUGCCAGCAGCCGCGGUAAUUCCAGCUCCAAUAGCGUAUAUUAAAGUUGUUGCAGUUAAAAAGCUCGUAGUUGAAUUUCGGGGUUAGUAGGUUGGUCAUGCCACUGGUAUGUACUGGUCUCACUGAUUCCUCCUCCCUGAUGAGACGUAAUGCCAUUAAUUUGGUGUUGCGAGGAAUCUGGACUGUUACUUUGAAAAAAUUAGGGUGUUUAAAGCAGGCUAACGCUUGAAUACAUUAGCAUGGAAUAAUGAAAUAGGACGUUUGAUCUUAUUUUGUUGGUUUCUAGGAUUGACGUAAUGAUUAAUAGGGAUAGUUGGGGGCAUUAGUAUUCAAUUGUCAGAGGUGAAAUUCUUGGAUUUAUUGAAGACUAACUACUGCGAAAGCAUUUGCCAAGGAUGUUUUCAUUAAUCAAGAACGAAAGUUAGGGGAUCGAAGACGAUCAGAUACCGUCGUAGUCUUAACCAUAAACUAUGCCGACUAGGGAUCGGAUGAUGUUAAUUUUUUAAUGACUCAUUCGGCGCCUUACGGGAAACCAAAGUGUUUGGGUUC
This 565-nucleotide ribosomal RNA is filed under the name uncultured Glomeromycotina. RNAcentral's name for it is "SSU rRNA". It matches the Rfam family "Eukaryotic small subunit ribosomal RNA", at positions 548 to 1114 of the family's 1831-position model. The record is from RNAcentral. Lineage: Eukaryota; Fungi; Glomeromycota.